AUUGAACGCUGGCGGCAGGCCUAACACAUGCAAGUCGAGCGGAUGAAGGGAGCUUGCUCCUGGAUUCAGCGGCGGACGGGUGAGUAAUGCCUAGGAAUCUGCCUGGUAGUGGGGGAUAACGUCCGGAAACGGGCGCUAAUACCGCAUACGUCCUGAGGGAGAAAGUGGGGGAUCUUCGGACCUCACGCUAUCAGAUGAGCCUAGGUCGGAUUAGCUAGUUGGUGGGGUAAAGGCCUACCAAGGCGACGAUCCGUAACUGGUCUGAGAGGAUGAUCGGUCACACUAGAACUGAGACACGGUCCAGACUCCUACGGGAGGCAGCAGUGGGGAAUAUUGGACAAUGGGCGGAAGCCUGAUCCAGCCAUGCCGCGUGUGUGAAGAAGGUCUUCGGAUUGUAAAGCACUUUAAGUUGGGAGGAAGGGCAGUAAGUUAAUACCUUGCUGUUUUGACGUUACCAACAGAAUAAGCACCGGCUAACUUCGUG
RNAcentral lists this ribosomal RNA (484 nucleotides) under uncultured bacterium. RNAcentral's name for it is "partial 16S ribosomal RNA". It matches the Rfam family "Bacterial small subunit ribosomal RNA", at positions 30 to 507 of the family's 1533-position model. The record is from RNAcentral.